AUGUGAGCGAACUACAAAAAAGUAAGUCUCAGUUCGGAUUGAAGGCUGAAAAUUCGCCUUCAUGAAGCCGGAAUUGCUAGUAUGGCAGGUCAGCAUACCGCCGUGAAUACGUUCCCGGGCCUUGUACACACCGCCCGUCACACCAUGAGAGUUGGAGAUACCCGAAGCCUGUGAGCUAACAAACGAGGCAGCAGUCGAAGGUAGAAUCAAUGAUUGGGGUGAAGUCGUAACAAGGUAAC
This 239-nucleotide ribosomal RNA is filed under the name uncultured bacterium. RNAcentral describes it as "partial 16S ribosomal RNA". It matches the Rfam family "Bacterial small subunit ribosomal RNA", at positions 1261 to 1500 of the family's 1533-position model. The record is from RNAcentral.